RNAcentral lists this ribosomal RNA (963 nucleotides) under uncultured bacterium. Its description in RNAcentral is "bacterial SSU rRNA". It matches the Rfam family "Bacterial small subunit ribosomal RNA", at positions 8 to 949 of the family's 1533-position model. The record is from RNAcentral.
AGAGUUUGAUCCUGGCUCAGGACGAACGCUGGCGGCGUGCCUAAUACAUGCAAGUAGGACGCACAGUUUAUACCGUAGCUUGCUACACCAUAGACUGUGAGUUGCGAACGGGUGAGUAACGCGUAGGUAACCUGCCUAUUAGAGGGGGAUAACUAUUGGAAACGAUAGCUAAUACCGCAUAACAGUAUGUAACACAUGUUAGAUGCUUGAAAGAUGCAAUUGCAUCGCUAGUAGAUGGACCUGCGUUGUAUUAGCUAGUAGGUAGGGUAAAGGCCUACCUAGGCAACGAUACAUAGCCGACCUGAGAGGGUGAUCGGCCACACUGGGACUGAGACACGGCCCAGACUCCUACGGGAGGCAGCAGUAGGGAAUCUUCGGCAAUGGGGGGAACCCUGACCGAGCAACGCCGCGUGAGUGAAGAAGGUUUUCGGAUCGUAAAGCUCUGUUGUUAAGGAAGAACGAGUGUGAGAAUGGAAAGUUCAUACUGUGACGGUACUUAACCAGAAAGGGACGGCUAACUACGUGCCAGCAGCCGCGGUAAUACGUAGGUCCCGAGCGUUGUCCGGAUUUAUUGGGCGUAAAGCGAGCGCAGGCGGUUAGAAAAGUCUGAAGUGAAAGGCAGUGGCUCAACCAUUGUAGGCUUUGGAAACUGUUUAACUUGAGUGCAGAAGGGGAGAGUGGAAUUCCAUGUGUAGCGGUGAAAUGCGUAGAUAUAUGGAGGAACACCGGUGGCGAAAGCGGCUCUCUGGUCUGUAACUGACGCUGAGGCUCGAAAGCGUGGGGAGCGAACAGGAUUAGAUACCCUGGUAGUCCACGCCGUAACGAUGAGUGCUAGGUGUUAGGUCCUUUCCGGGACUUAGUGCCGUAGCUAACGCAUUAGCACUCCGCCUGGGGAGUACGACCGCAGGUUGAAACUCAAAGGAAUUGACGGGGCCCGCACAAGCGGUGGAGCAUGUGGUUUAA